CCUACGGGAGGCAGCAGUGAGGAAUAUUGGUCAAUGGCCGGAAGGCUGAACCAGCCAAGUCGCGUGAGGGACGACUGCCCUAUGGGUUGUAAACCUCUUUUAUAAGGGAAGAAUAAAUGCUACGUGUAGCAUGCUGCCUGUACCUUAUGAAUAAGCAUCGGCUAACUCCGUGCCAGUAGCCGCGGUAAUACGGAGGAUGCGAGCGUUAUCCGGAUUUAUUGGGUUUAAAGGGUGCGUAGGCGGUUUUUUAAGUUAGUGGUUAAACGUCGGGGCUUCACCUUGAUUUGCCAUUAAUACUGUAAGACUCGAGUUCAGACGAGGUAGGCGGAAUAAGUUAAGUAGCGGUGAAAUGCUUAGAUAUAACUUAGAACUCCGAUAGCGAAGGCAGCUUACCAGACUGCGACUGACGCUGAAGCACGAGAGCGUGGGUAGCGAACAGGAUUAGAUACCCGGGUAGUC
RNAcentral lists this ribosomal RNA (459 nucleotides) under uncultured bacterium. RNAcentral's name for it is "partial 16S ribosomal RNA". It matches the Rfam family "Bacterial small subunit ribosomal RNA", at positions 338 to 795 of the family's 1533-position model. The record is from RNAcentral.